GCCCUUCUUUACUGGAAGAGCUGCAGCUGACAUCCAGAGGCCCUGAGAAUUUGGCCAGUCACAGUGACAAGAAUUAGAAGAAUGUAUCAGGAGGAAAUAGCGGUUGGAUUUUUUUUUCUCAUUUUCCUUUCACUCUGGUCUGAGCGCUGAAGUGUCGGUGCAGUAGUCGUGUUGAAGUGAAAUGGGGGACCUCUCUUGUGCCCAGUGGGUUACAAUGAUAAAUAGCAGCAAUUGCUUUCCUAAUCGCUUGGACUGGGUAUCUGUUUUGGAGGAAGCCCAUCUGAUUAGAGGUGCAUCUAGGAUUUCCCUAUCCUGGACAGAGAGUUUAUUCAGAUGAGCUUCUUGGAGAAACCUAAGGCCGUUAUCUGUGGAAUCGGGAGUCAGUUGGUAAAGUUUUUGGAAGUGAGAUGCCAUCACGUCUGUGAUGUCAUUUGUACUACGAGCCAAUCCAGUGGGAGUUUUGAGUUUCUGGAGUUUGUUUUUUUGACUAAAUUCGCCAAUAGUUUCCCAGAUUUAUUUCCCCAUCGGUAAUAUCUAUUUGCAGUAUGGUUUAAUUUAUGUUGCAUCUGUUCAGUCAAUAAAGUAUUGAAAAGAG
Molecule: long non-coding RNA, 595 nt
Organism: Xenopus laevis (African clawed frog)
Lineage: Eukaryota; Metazoa; Chordata; Amphibia; Anura; Pipidae
Exons: 4
Source: RefSeq, a predicted model, not a curated record